RNAcentral lists this ribosomal RNA (163 nucleotides) under Pinguicula balcanica. Its description in RNAcentral is "5.8S ribosomal RNA". It matches the Rfam family "5.8S ribosomal RNA". From Rfam's summary of the family: 5.8S ribosomal RNA (5.8S rRNA) is a component of the large subunit of the eukaryotic ribosome. The record is from RNAcentral. Lineage: Eukaryota; Viridiplantae; Streptophyta; Magnoliopsida; Lamiales; Lentibulariaceae.
GACUCUCGGCAACGGAUAUCUCGGCUCUCGCAUCGAUGAAGAACGUAGCAAAAUGCGAUACUUGGUGUGAAUUGCAGAAUCCCGUGAACCAUUGAAUGUUUGAACGCAAGUUGCGCCCGAAGCCAUCCGGCCGAGGGCACGCCUGCCUGGGCGUCACGCAUCG